This 358-nucleotide long non-coding RNA is filed under the name Hordeum vulgare. Its description in RNAcentral is "long non-coding RNA (HVUL_LNC001536)". The record is from RNAcentral. Lineage: Eukaryota; Viridiplantae; Streptophyta; Magnoliopsida; Poales; Poaceae.
AUUGGGCAAUGGUGCAGGUUCCCCCACGAAAUUUUGCAAGGAAAAUUGCUGGUGGUACUCCAUACUCAAAGCAGUUAAGGGAGCCAUUGCCAAGGAAGCAAUCCAAGCAGGUGAGUACGACGCCACUAUCGUCCAACUAAAAACCACAGUCUGGGAAUGUUGGGCACUCUGAUGAAGCCCGUGAGAUCAGGCCAGAGAUGGAGUUUGAUGAAUCUGAAGAAUUGACUUCCUUCUUUCGUGUAAAAUGGACCACUUUGCUUCCUCCAACAUAAAUACCUGAACACGCAAUUGGUGGCAACUGGAUAAGAAAGUGGCUAACACUAGAAAAUUUCUCCAUAAGCAAUAUCCAGUAAAAUAG